AACGAACGCUGGCGGCAUGCCUAACACAUGCAAGUCGAACGAGACCUUCGGGUCUAGUGGCGCACGGGUGCGUAACGCGUGGGAACCUGCCCUUAGGUUCGGAAUAACUCCCCGAAAGGGGUGCUAAUACCGGAUAAUGUCUUCGGACCAAAGAUUUAUCGCCUUUGGAUGGGCCCGCGUUGGAUUAGCUAGUUGGUAGGGUAAAAGCCUACCAAGGCGACGAUCCAUAGCUGGUCUGAGAGGAUGAUCAGCCACACUGGGACUGAGACACGGCCCAGACUCCUACGGGAGGCAGCAGUGGGGAAUAUUGGACAAUGGGCGAAAGCCUGAUCCAGCAAUGCCGCAUGAGUGAUGAAGGCCUUAGGGUUGUAAAGCUCUUUUACCCGGGAUGAUAAUGACAGUACCGGGAGAAUAAGCGCCGGCUAACUCCGUG
This 433-nucleotide ribosomal RNA is filed under the name uncultured bacterium. RNAcentral describes it as "partial 16S ribosomal RNA". It matches the Rfam family "Bacterial small subunit ribosomal RNA", at positions 29 to 507 of the family's 1533-position model. The record is from RNAcentral.